UACGUAGGGGGCAAGCGUUGUCCGGAUUUAUUGGGCGUAAAACGCUCGUAGGUGGCUACGUCAAGUCGGACGUGAAAUCUCCCGGCUUAACUGGGAGAGGUCGCUCGAUACUGGCGAGCUCGAGGCAGGUAGGGGGAAGCGGAAUUCCCGGUGUAGUGGUGGAAUGCGUAGAGAUCAGCAGGAACACCAAGGACGAAGGUACCUACCUGGGCAGUAUCUGACACUCAAGUGCGACAGCGUGGGGAGCGAACCGG
This 254-nucleotide ribosomal RNA is filed under the name uncultured bacterium. RNAcentral describes it as "partial 16S ribosomal RNA". It matches the Rfam family "Bacterial small subunit ribosomal RNA", at positions 524 to 776 of the family's 1533-position model. The record is from RNAcentral.